GCGGCUAAGUUAGCGAGCUAAGCGGCUAAGUUAGCUAGCUAAGCGGCUAAGUUAGCUAGCGGGCUAAUUAGCACAGGUGGCUAACUUACCGCUGAACACCUGUGUUAGUUGCUGCUGCAGAUGUCCUCAUUAUUAGUGAACUUCUCAACCUGUAUUUCUCUGCUGUGUAUUUUAGCUUUUAAAAAAGUUAUUUUACUUUAAGGUUAACUGAAACCCGUUCAGCUGCACUGAAGUUUAACAUUCAGCUGCUUUGAAUUAAACCACGCUUAACUUAACAUUGAACAACAUUACCUCUGAAUCUCCAUAAUUUCAUUAAAUUCCUUCUCUCUUCCACUGCUCAAGUUCAAUCCAGUAUAUAAAGUGACAUUAAUAGUGAAUAAACUAACAACCAGCCAUUGUAUUUAUUUAUUAUUGCAUGUAUUUGUAGUAAAACAUGAGUUGAAACAUCCUACUUUUGGAUCUAGAACUGCACAAGCCGUUCAUUUUCAGUCACCUGACGAGUUAAACUCCCCUUUUUAUGUGAGGUUGAAGCAGAAAGUCUGAGUUAAUAAAGAAAGUUGUUCAUAAUUUGCGAUACCUGUUAUCUCUGACUGAGGCUUUAGUUUUUGUUGAGCUGAUUUACACGUAGAAACUUUAUUCAGGAAGAUUUGUCAGUAGCUCAGAGGACAGGCUGCUUUUUACACAACCUUGUAAGAGAAUGUCUGUCAAUGCUUUCAGCAGAAUUUAGAAACACAACACUUCCUAAACAGAUAUUUUGAGGCUGUGAGGUUGAACGUUUGAGAGUCUAUCAGUGUGUUUGUUUGUGGUCUUUCUGUUUCUAGGUGGAAGCUGAAUUAGUGAGGAUGACUCCUGCUCCUGUCAUCUCUAAGCUCCUCCCACAUCUUUACCUGCACAUGAGGAAAAUCACUCCUGUAGAAUGCAGUGGUUCAUCAGAACCUCUGGGGAUCCUGUGGAUUCUGUGGAUCCUGUGGGUUGCAGGGUGGGUCCUACCUAGACCAGGCUGAUCCUGGACCAUCCCACAGAUGCUCCAUCAGAUGUGGAUGUGGGGAGUGUGGAACCCAGAUGUUCAGAGGGAGAUGAUGCCACAUCUGGUCCAGCUGGUGGAAGGUGUUGAAGUUCUCUGACUGGCCUGGACUGAAGAUGGUCGUCUCACUGGAUUUAAGGUUCAGAUGCUCAGUAACAAACUCCACCAAUGAGCCAACAGGGAAGCUGUAGGUUUAUUAAAUGUUGCUAUGAAGGUUUCACUGUUUUUCUUUUUGAAUGCAAUGAGCUCCAACUGAAACUUGAAUUAGAACUUAGAAGUAAAUCCUUCCAUCUGAAAGGAUUUAGUUGCAUUAAUAACCUCAUAACAUUCUAAUUUUUAUUCCAGUCUUGGUUGGAAAUAGAAUCUCUGUAUUGAUUCAGGUAAAAACUGAACUUCACAGCAUGUUGGAGCAAAACAACCAGAUGAAAACUGUGAUGGUGUUGGAUUGUCAGACCGUAAUGUUGCAGCUCAAAGCAGCUUUUCUAUCUCAGUUUAUUCUGACAUUCAGCUAUGAAUCAACACAGCAGAUGGUGAUCCAUGCUGUGGAAGUCUCACAUCUCCUGAUUUAAUGGAGCUGCUUUGCACUUUUUACACUGUUUAUUCACCAGCACUUUAUUUAAUAAAAGUCUCAUCUAGUUUUUAUGAGGAAUGUGAUGUUUUAAUUUCUCUGUGAAUAACUGCAGUCUAAUGGAACAGCUGGAAUUGUAACAUCUGUCCUGAUCUUGAUCAUGAAGUAUUGAUCAGAAUACUUAUGGUCAGCAGUCAUCCCUGAAGUUUUACAUUAAAAUCUUUACUUGUGUUGUGAACUUUGGUAAGAAGCAGAAACUUUUGCGUUGCCAUGGAUACAUGAGUGUUAAAUUCUGUCCAUGUUUCAUUUUGGGAAAUUCAGUCCAGCAGAUGAGUUUGUUUUUACUGGCAGCUACAUUCAGUCUGAGAUAUUAAGAAUAAAUAAAUAAAUGUGCAUAAUGUGGAAAUGAACAGAUUCUAUUUUUAUUUAUUCCUACAGCGGAUGCAGGGAAAGUUCCAGAAUGUGGAGGAAUUUAGUCUCACAAUCACAGACAAUAAAUAUUAUCUGAAAGUCGGAUUAUUGUUGUUUAUCAGCACAAUACAAAAAGAUUCAUGUUAGAAAUAUUCCAGUUAAGACUCUAGAAUAUCAGGAUUUAUGUAAAUUUACCUCAAUAAUAUGAAUGUUCAGGUUAAGAUUGUACAGUGAUAUUUAUUAUGUAAGUUUAGCUGAUUAAAGUUUAUGACUCUGCACUACAAUAUUAUUUAUUAUUUACAUUUACAUCAUUAUUAUAAUAUUUAGGGUCAGACUCUACAGUAUUGAGAUUAAGAAAUCAAAUAUUCUAUAAAAUGUAAAUACACUGAACUAAUCUGGAUAUAUUUAAGUGAGACUCUACAAUAUUAUUUGACACAAAUCUAUCUAAAUCAACAUUUUAAUCAUUUUUACUCCAAACAUUUACUGGACUGAUUUAAACAUUAAAAUCACUCCUUUCUAAUCCUCUGCUGUACGUUCAAACCUGAGGCCUUAAAUAGAAACACACAAGUAUCUGAUUGAAGGAACUUCUGCAGAGUCCUGGUUCCAGAACAUGAUGAUAGAAUUAUAGACAAACUUUAACAAAAGCUGCCUGAGAGUUUACAGGUUUUUAUGUUGGAUUUCUUCAGUAAUUUAAUGAGAGUUAUCAGCAAAAAUCAAGUGUUCAUUUGAUGAACUUCAUUUCCUAAAACAUCCAGAAUUGGAGCUCAUAUCUUUGGCAGCUGUAAAGUUUCUGCUCCUUCAAAGUUCACAACACAAUGAAUGAAUUCCUAAAACACUCUCAAUGCUGGAGAGCGUUUGAUGCUGAAGCAGUGAGCAGUUUUUCUGUUUCUUCUCUGGAGAUGCACAAUGAGGGACGUCUGCAGAGACUGAGAAAGAGUCUCACCACAUCCUGACAUGAGGAAAAAGACUUUAUUGAAGACUACAAUGAGAAAAACUAUCAGACAGCAGACGGCUGCAUUCAAGGUGAGCUCUGAACAUUUGAUCUGGAACAGGAAUUCAAUAACGGCAGCAUGAGCUUCAUUUCAGUCUGUAGCUGCUGAAUUCAUGGAUGAAUCAUCUGGCACUAGAGAGGAAGACCAUCAAACAUCCACGUCAGCUGAUGGAGGCCAGUCGCUGUGGUUCAAAGCCAACACUGACUACGUGGACUUCUACUGGACCACACGGAGGCCUUCAAACCGGACCAACAAGUUCAGUGACUCCCCGACUCGUGGGUCUGAGGACGCCGCCGAGCCUCGGUCCAGCCGGCCUCCUGUCUGUGGGUGUUUGAGUGCUGAGAGGUUUGUGGAUGCAUGUGAACGUUCUGUGUUGAAACUGCAGCUUUGGACUCAGUAACGCCGGGAAAAACCAAGAGCUCCUUUAUUUGUGACUUCCACUAAAAAAACUGAUGAAAAUGAGUUUGUCAGGGUUCUGACUGAUAACAGAUUAUUAAAUAAUGAAAACAGUUUAAAUAUUCUUUUAAACAAUCCUUUUAGGUCUACAUUUCCUUUACACUGACUUCUUGGUAAAUGUACAAGUAUUUUGGGUGGAAUAUACCAAUAAGCCCAAUGUUCAAGGGUUCUUCUGGGAAUAUACCAUUCAACCAACCUUUUAGGUAAAUGUUCCAGGAUGUUGGGUAGAAUAUACCAUCAGAUCAACCUUUUAGGUCUACAUUGGAAGAUUUUAGAGUAGAAUAUUACUCCAAACCAUCCUUUAGGUCUACAUUUAAGGUGGAAUACUCCUUUACACCAAGAUUUUUUGGUCUACAUUGAAGGAUUUUAGGUGGAAUAUUCCUUUGAACAAAGUUUUUAAGUUUAUGUUCCAGGAUGUUGGGUGGAAUGUACCAUCAGACCAACCUCCAAGGUCUACAGUAGUGAAUUUUAGGUGGAAUAUACCAUUAAACUCACCUUUUAGGUCCACAUUGGAGGAUUUUAGGUAGAAUUUUCUUCCAAACCAUCUUUUAGUCUACAUUUAAGGAUGUUUAGGAUGGUAUAUUCUUCCAAACCAACUUCUCAGGUCUACAUUUCAGGUGGAAUAUUCCUCCAUACUAACUUUUUUGGUCUACAUUGAAGGAUUUUUUUCUAAACCACCCUUUCAGGUCUAUAUUUGAGGUUUUAGAUGGAAUAUUCCUUUUAACCAGCCCCUCAGGUAUCUUUGAGGAUUUUGGAUGGAAUACUUGGUUAAACCAACAUUUUAGGUGCAUUUCCAAGGAUUUUUAGUGGAAUGUUCCUUUAAGGUGGAUGUGUGAGGACCUUGUAGGGGGAAUACUUCCUGAAACCAACCUUUUAGGGCAACAUUCAACGAUUUAAGGUGGAAUAUUCCUUUAAACCAACCUAAAUUUCAUGUUUUGAUCAUUAUCUAGUGAGAAACCUCAAUCCAGACUCCUCAUAAUGACGUCUGAGAUUUAUGCUGCUGUUAUUUGUUUAGUCCAGACUAAAUGACAGAAAUCUACAACUGCAAUUUUAUUUCAGGACUCAGUUAUUAAAUGUCAAAACAAUCCAUGUGACUGUAAAAACUCAACAGCUUUACAAACUCUAAGAUUAAACUCUCCACAAGGAUCCAAAAUAAGUUGGACUUCUACAUGAGAGCUUUAAUUAUUCUUCAUCUACUUCCUGAAAAGUUUGGUCAAUAAAGACAAAAACCGAUAUUUUCAGCUGAAUUAAAGACAAACUUUGUGAUUUUUCUGCUCACAUGUUGUGUUGUUGUAAACUUCCUCUUUCAAAUAAAUAUCCUCCUAACCCCCUGGAAA
This is a long non-coding RNA of Amphiprion ocellaris (clown anemonefish), 4788 nucleotides long. RefSeq lists it as uncharacterized. Lineage: Eukaryota; Metazoa; Chordata; Actinopteri; Pomacentridae. The transcript has 3 exons. The record is from RefSeq and is a predicted model, not a curated record.